Molecule: ribosomal RNA, 490 nt
Filed under: uncultured bacterium
Lineage: Bacteria
Description: partial 16S ribosomal RNA
Rfam family: Bacterial small subunit ribosomal RNA
Source: RNAcentral
AUUGAACGCUGGCGGCAGGCCUAACACAUGCCAGUCGAACGGUAACAGGAAGCAGCUUGCUGCUUUGCUGACGAGUGGCGGGCGGGUGAGUAAUGUCUGGGAAACUCCCCGAUGGAGGGGGAUAACUACUGGAAACGGUAGCUAAUACCGCAUAACGUCGCAAGACCAAAGAGGGGGACCUUAGGGCCCCUUGCCAUCGGAUGUGCCCAGAUGGGAUUAGCUAGUAGGUGGGGUAACGGCUCACCUAGGCGACGAUCCCUAGCUGGUCUGAGAGGAUGACCAGCCACACUGGAACUGAGACACGGUCCAGACUCCUACGGGAGGCAGCAGUGGGGAAUAUUGCACAAUGGGCGCAAGCCUGAUGCAGCCAUGCCGCGUGUAUGAAGAAGGCCUUCGGGUUGUAAAGUACUUUCAGCGGGGAGGAAGGGAGUAAAGUUAAUACCUUUGCUCAUUGACGUUACCCGCAGAAGAAGCACCGGCUAACUCCGUG